Molecule: long non-coding RNA, 11130 nt
Filed under: Homo sapiens (human)
Lineage: Eukaryota; Metazoa; Chordata; Mammalia; Primates; Hominidae
Description: non-protein coding lnc-CALM2-2:15
Source: RNAcentral
AGGGACCUGGAUUCUUAGUAUUUCAGGCUGCUGUCCCUUUUUUUUUUUCAUUUCCUUUUUGUUUUUGUUGUUGAUGUGACCGCGUGUCCACAACCCUGGGAUUCCCUCGCCCUCAGAUUCCAGAAUCCAAUUUCUUGGAUUUCAGUGUUUUUAAGGUCAGUGGAAACUUUUUUAAAAAGCAACAUUAAGCUAAUAUAUUCUUACUGCAGAAAAGGAGCUUUGUUCUAUUUAUCUCUAAAACUGAUGCUCACUAGUAGUUCUCAGAUUUGGAAAGGUAUUUGUACUAUUUAUUUAUAGGAGCAUUUAUUUAUAGGAAAUACUGGCUGGGCGUGGUGGCUCAUACCUAUAAUCCCAGCACUUUGGGAGGCCAAUGUGGGCGGAUCAGUUUGAGACCAGCCUGGCCAACAUGGCAAAACCCCGUCUCUACUAAAAAUACAAAAAUUAGCUGGGCGUGGUGGUGAGUGCCUGUAAUCCCAGCUACUCCGGAGGCUGAGGCUGGAGAAUCGCCUGAACCUGGGAGGCGGAGGUUGCAGUGGGCCGAGAUCGCGCCAUUGCACUCCAGCCUGGGCGACAAAAACGAAACUCCAUCUCAAAAAAAAAAAAAGGAAAUCCACUAGAUCGAGGUGCUUGGAAAAACAACCCAUCACUAAGGAUCCUUCCCUUCCUCUUCUCCAUUAAUACCACCUUUGUAAAGAUUCCCUCCGGUACCACCCCAAAGAACUGAAGUGCAGAUAAUUAUUUCCCAGAAUGUUGUUUUUACGCUGGUGAAAUUCAACGGCAAACAUUUUACUAACACUCUCCUCCUUUUCCUACCUGAGGUAUUAAAACUUGGAGUCAGCCUGGGUAAUAUUUUAUAGGAAAAUGCUCUUCAUCACUGUACACCUGUGCCUACCAUGGUACCUGGGGCAUCUAGUAGGUGCCAGAUAAAUAUAUAUGUACAUUUUAUAUAUAUAUAUAUAUAUAUGUAUGUAUGUAUAUAUAGUUUUUUUUUUUUUUUUUUCCCGAGACAGAGUCUUGCUCUGUCACCCAGGCUGGCAUGCAGUGGCGUGAUCUUGGCUCACUGCAACCUCCGCCUCCUGGUUCAAGCAAUUCUCCUGCCUCAGCCUCCCAAGUAGCUGGGAUUACAGGCACGCACCACCAUGCCCAGCUAAUUUUUGUGCUGUUAGUAGAGACGAGGUUUCACCAUGAUGGCCAGGCUGGUUUCAAACUCCUGACCUCAGGUGAUUCGUCCACCUCAGCCUCCAAAAGUGCUGGGAUUACAGGCACGAGCACUGCACCCUGCCACAGACAAAUAUUUACUGAGGGAAUUAAUGAGAAGAAUCUGGGAGAAAAGAAGAAAGCAGAGAUUUCUAAAAUGGAAGAAUUUCCCCUAGAAUUAUCCAGAACUGACUGUGUAAUAAAAGUACACUUUUUCCUUCUUUGCUUAGCUAAGUAUUGGGGAAACAUUUAAAAUUAUUAAAAAUAGAGGGAGUUUCGGGAGCCUGAAAAGUCUUUAGACCCCAAAACUGCUGGGAUCCUAGGCCUUAAGAUUCCAAAGAAGAGAUGCUCUUAGACUUGAUCCUGCCUGCUCACAGGCUCAGAGUGGACGUGGCUACUGGCUUAUCUUAGGUCUAGAAGAAUUAAGUGAUUGCAGUAUGCUCAGCUUAAAAAGUUGUCAUGAACCUGGGGAUGGAGUAGAGGGGGUUGGUAUUUAGAACAUCCUAACCACCCCUUUCUGCUCUGGUCUAGAAGGAGGCCAGAAACAUUUCAUAAAAUGUUGUACAAAGUAGCACUCCCAGAAUCCUGGCUGUUCAGCGAGGCAGUGCCGGCUGCUCAGUUGAGCAUGGCCCUUUGGAUUCACACGGACCUAAGUCCAAAUUCUAUCUGUGUCCUGAGCUGUUUAGCCUGAUAAAGAAAAGUAGACACUGGGCCAGGUGCAAUGGCUCAUUUCUGUAAUCCCAGUACUGUGGGAGGCUGAGGCAGGUUGAUCACCUGAGGUUGGGAGUUUGAGACCAGCCUGACCAACAUGAAAGAAACCCCUUCUCUACUAAAAAUACAUAAUUACCCGGGCGUGGUGGCACAUGCCUAUAAUUCCAGCUACUCGGGAGGCUGAGGCAGGAGAAUCGCUUGAACCUGGGAGGCGGAGGUUGCAGUGAGCCGAGAUGGCACCAUUGCACCCCAGCCUGGGCAAUAAGAGCAAAACUCUGUCUGGGAAAAAAAAGAAAAAAGAAGAGUAGACACCAUGAGGCCUGUCUAAGGCCUCAGCUCAGCUCUGAUAGGAGCUACUGGAAGCAAGUGACUUCGCAGAGGACCUAAACUGUAAGAAGUUCGCAUUGAAAGCUGGAGCCAAGGUGGGAGGUCUCGCUAUGCUUCCCAGGCUGGACUCAAAUUCCUGGGCUCAAGUGAUUCCCCCGCCUCAGCCUCCUGAGUAGCUGGGACUACAGAUAUGGCAUGUCAGUCUGGUGGUCUAGCCAGAGGAAGACUCCUGGAGCUGGUGAACUGUGCAUGGAUAUGCAGUCACGGGCAGCCCACCUCCUACUCCUCACCCUCCCUGUGCCUGUGAGGGUCUGCACUCACCCUGGUCUUGCUUUAUUGCCCAGGCUGGAGUACAGUGGCGCAAUCACGGCUCACUGCAGCCUCAACCUCUUGGGCCCGAGCAAUCUUCCCACCUUGGUCUCCUAAAGUGCUGGGAUAACAGGCAUGAGCCACCACAUCUGGCUGAGGCCCCACAUUUUCAUUUUGUGCUGAGACUUGUAAAUUAGGUAGCUGGUCCUGGCUGUAGCAGAUGGUAUAGAUUCUUUUUCUGGCUCUGUUUUUGUGACAUCUCAACUUACUGGGCUCUUAUUAAAGGUGAUUUAGGUGACUUAUCAACUUUUCAUGAGUACAGAUGAAGAACUCUUCUAGGGCAGGGGUCCCCAACCCUUGGGCCACAGACCAGUACUGGCCUAUUAGGAGCCAGGCCGCACAGCAGGAGGUGAGUGGCAGGCAAGCAAAUCAAGCUUCAUCUGUAUUUACAGCCACUCCCCAUCACUAGCAUUAUUGCCUGAGCUUGGCCUCCUGUCAGAUCAGUGGCGACCUUGAUUGUCAUAGGAGCGUGAACCCUCUAGUGAACUGCGCAUGGCAGAGAUCUAGGUUGCACUCUCCUUGUGAGAAUCUAAUGCUUGAUGAUCUGUCACUGUCUCCCAUCACUCCGAGAUGGGAUCGCCUAGUUGCAAGAAAACAAGUUCAAGGCUCUCACUGAUUUUGCCUUAUGGUGAGUUGUAUAAUUAUUUCAUUAUAUAUUACAAAGUAAUAAUAAUAGAAAUAAAGUGCACAAUAAAUGUAAUGUACUUGAAUCAUCCCUAAACUAUCCCCUGCCGCCCUAGUCUGUGGAAAAAUGGUCUUUCAUGAAACUGGUCCCUGUUGCCUAAAAGGUUGGGACUGCUGCUCUAGAAGGUAUGGGAUUGGGAGGUGGGGGUCACACAGAUAGCCACUGACAACCUGAGAAUAGUGACAUGGGCCUGUAAAAACAGAUCAAUAGGUAUCUGUGGAAGGUAUUGAUGAAUACAUGAAUGAAUGAAUGAAACAACAAACUAAGAAAAAUGGCAUGGCAUGCAUGAAUGUGUGAUGGGCUCAAAAUAUGAUCCUCAUAGGGAUAUUUGCCUUAGAAAAAGGAGGCAAAGGCUAAGCUGGAAAAAUCUGUGGCAAUUGAGAGCCCUUGGGGGCUCUGGGUAUGGGUGGGAGGAAUCUAAAGUCUCUCUGUAGAGACUGGUCUUGGGCCAUCCAAUCUUCUCUGCCCGCUACAGCUAAGCCUUUUUCUGCCCACUACAGCUUCCCACAUGCUGCUUCAAUGUUGAUAUCUUGAAGAGGCGUGAGCCACCUCACCCAGCCACAAUAAGAGCUUUUUAAUGAGAAGAAGACACAAGUCUUGAUUGAGAAUUUCUCUUCCUGAGAGGAAGUACCAGCAUGUUAUGGACCUUAGCUGAUUUGUCUUUAAAAAUCUCAAGCUGUAAUAAUUCCCAGUUGCUCAGUGCACAGUGAAUGAGGCUGAUAUUUAAACAGAACGCCUCAAAGGCACCCGCUGUGUCCACACUUUCUCCCUGCCUGUCCUAUGCCUCUCCAGGUGAUGUCCAUCUUCUCCUUGAAGCCCUCUCUGGCUGCUCCAGUCCCUGAGCUUUCCUUCCUGCACUCAUACAGCAUGAGGAAGGCUCCAUCUUUUUCUAGAUGUGCUAUUUUUUUUAGCAUUUGCUGUGUGCACUUUAGAGGCUCAUUGCCUCUUUGAGACCAAGGAUGGCACUGUCCCUUCUCUCUAGUUGCUCUGAGUGCCAAGCACAGCCCUGAACACCAAAUACUUUGACUCUUCUGUGGCUACUCAACCCUCCUGGCUGUUCCUUCAUCACCCUGGACCGGCCCCCACUCCAGGGUCUUUGCACUUGCUCUCCCUCUGCUUAGAAAGCCCUUCUCCCUGCAAUCUGCAGGGGCUUGAUUACUCUUCUCUUUCAGGCCUUUGCUCAAAUGUCACCUCAUCAAUGCACCCUUCUCUGACCAUCCUAUUGAAUAUUCCAAAUCUUUUUUUUUUUUUUUUUUUUUGAGACAGAGUCUUGCUCUUGUCGCCCAGGCUGGAGUGCAGUGGCACGAUCUUGGCUCACUGCAACCUCUGCCUCCUGGGUUCAAGUGAUUCUCAUACCUCAGCAUCCUCAGGAGCUGGGAUUACAGGCGCCCGCCAUCACACCCGGCUAAUUUUUGUAGUUUUAGUAGAGGCAGGGUUUUGCCAUGUUGGCCAGGCUAGUCUCAAACUCCUAACCUCACGUGAUCCACCCGCCUUGGCCUCCCAAAGUGCUGGGAUUACAGGUGUGAGCAGGCCAGGAACUAUUGUGCCAUGGAUAUUGUUGGUAGCCUAUCCAUCUUCUAUGUCCACAUCUGCAGGGGAAGGGGACCCUACCCUCAGCUCCUGGGGUGGUCCCUGGUUGGCACAGUCCAUUCUCCUGAGCACAGUCACAGUCUUCAGAGGGGCACCUGGUACCUGAGCUGUCCAAUCGGGGAGAUUCUUGGGACUCUCACCAGUAAUGUUGGUGUAGACUUGUUUCCUGUUCUUCCUGGAGACCUUGUUGGCCUGACUGAGCCAUCUGGCCACCAGAGUGAGGAUGUGGACAACAUAAAGCAGAGGGCAGAACCGAGGGAACCCCAGAUAAGGGGAGCCAGACCUGGAUUAAGGCAACUCUGAAAGGCAAGACUCUCUGGAUACUUUUUAAGGCACUUGGGGACUAAAAUAAUAGAGAGUCUAACAAAAAAAAUUUAAGAUGUCCAUUAUAUUGUUCAAAGUAUAAAGAAAUAUGGAAACUCCUUUGCUUACAAACUUCCAGCUUCCAAUUAAGCAGAGACCCCAAAGCUAUAGCCCAAAGCAAAAGUAUGUUGCCUUUAGUAGGGGGCACCUGUCGCCGACUCCCAGGAGUGUGGAGUUGGGAACUAGUUGGCAUUUUCAGUUUGUUCUAGAAGUCCAGGACUAUGUAUCUUGUCUUCUUAACCUGAAUGGGAUUCUCCCCAGUUCAGGGAACCAGCUGUGAGCUUUUUUUUUUUUUUUUUUUUGAGACAGGGUCUCACUCUGUUGCCCACGCUGGAGUGCAGUAGUACAAUCAUGGCUCACUGCAGCCUCGACCUUCUGGGCUCAAGCAAUCCUCCUGCCUCAGCCUCCCAAGUAGCUGGGACUACAGGCAUGUGCCAACACGUCCAGCUAAUUUUUGUGUUUUUUGUAGAGAUGGGGUUUCACCUUGUUGCUCAGUCUGGUCUCAGACUCCUGGACUCAAGUGAUCUGCCUGCCUCAGCCUCCAGAAUUGCAGGGAUUACAAGCGUGAGCCACCACACCUGAGUUCUCUCUUAUUGUAAUGAAAGUUUUCAGGGGAUCCACAUUUCAGCUCCCUGUACCCCUGUAAUCACAAGAGGGACCAAUGCUGUAAUGUCCUCUUAGCAAAUAGCCAAGAGCACACAGAUCUGACACACGUGGAAGGUAUUGUGAGGCUGUGUUCUGAAAAGGAAUAGUAAACUAGGAAAAGUUUCUCUUCAAACAAACAAACAAAAACCUGCCCUCUGACAAGCAGGUGCUUCUCUCAGGUUCUUGGCUUCCCAGUUUACUACCUGGCAUAUCUGUAGCAAAUGGUCGCUGAGAACCUGGAAGCAAUUCCUCAUUUGCAAGUCAAUGGCAGAUUUUUUUUUUUUCCUUUUUGAGACAGUCUCGCUUUGUUGCCCAGGCUAGAGUGUAUGGUGUGAUCUCAGCUCACUGCAACCUCAGCCUCCUGGGUUCAAGUGAUCCAUUCUCCUGCCUCAGCCUCCCGAGUAGCUGGGACUACAGGCAUGUGCCACCAUGCCCAGCUAAUUUUUGUAUUUUUAGUAGAAACGGGGUUUUGCCAUGUUGGCCAGGCUGCUCUCGAAUUCCUGACCUCAAGUGAUCCCCUCGCCUUGGCCUCCCAAAAUGCUGGGAUUACAGGCAUGAACCACCACACCGGCCAAUUUUUUGUGGUUUUCGUAGAGACAGGAUUUCAUUACGUUGGCCAAAUUGGUCUCAAACUCCUGUCCUCGUGAUCCACCCGCCUCGGCUCUCCAAAGUGCUGGGGGAUUACAGGCGUGAGCCAAUGCGCCAGGCCAAUAAUCACUGCUGGCAUUCUUGAGUGCCCAUAUGUGCCACACACUGUUUUUGCAAAAAUUAUAACUGAAGAAAUUAUGACAGUGAAAGAGAUCAGACCUAACCAACUCCAUCUUGCUUCUAACCUUUAAGCUGUCCUUGUACAUUCCUGGGCAUAGGCCGAACUAACUUUGGGAAGGAAUUCUGUUCAUGGUUUGACUCCGAAACAAAAUUGAUAACAGCCCUUUUCCAAGGCCCCCUUCUUGCCUGGGGACCAGUCUGCCUUUGCAGGGCUAACACAUUAGCUACAAGAUUAGAAAUUACGGGUUAGUGGUAAUGCAGCCUCUGGCUCCAAGAGUCUGAACCUCCUCAAAUUGCUCCUGGGGAUAACAUCACUAUUGUAAAACCUAAGAUCAGUGCUUGAGAUAUUUUGUAGACCCUGCACUUGAUGGAUCAGCUGACAUCACCCGGACUGGUUAUCUGGCUCAACCUGUUCUGCCAUCCCACCCAGGAACAGAAGACAGUAAGAAAAACUCACUUUGACCCCAUAUGAUUCCAUCUCCAACCUGAUCCAUCAGCACUCCCCACUUCCCGAGCCCCUACCCGCCAAAUUAUCUUUAAAAACUCUGCUCUCCGAAUGCUCCGGGAGACUGAUUUGAGUAAUAAUAAAACUCCAGUCUCCCUCUCCCGCACAGCCAGCUGUGUGUGAAUUACUCUUUCUCCACUGCAAUUCCCCUGUCUUGAUAAAUUAGCUCUGUCUAGGCAGCAGGCAAGGUGAACCCACUGGGCAGUUACAUAUUUACAUUUAUUUAUUUGUUUGUUGAGACAAGGUCUGUCACCCAGCCUGGGGUGCAGUGAUGUGAUCUCUGCUCACUGCAGCCUUGACUUCCCGGGCUCAAGCCAUCCUCCCACCUCAGCCUCCCAAGUAGCUGGGACUACAGGUGCACGACACCAUGCCUGGUUAAUUUUCAUAUUUUUUGUAGAGGUGGGGUUUCACCAUAUUGCCCAGGCUGGCCUCAAACUCCUGGACUCAAGAGAUCCCUCUGCCUCAGCCUCCCAAAGUGCUAGGAUUACAGGCAGGAGCCACCGUUCCCAGCCCUUGCCUUACAUUUAAUCUUCACUAUUAAUACACACAUGUUAUAAAUGAGAGCAUCAAAGUAUGGAGAGCAGAAGCAACUUGUCCAAGGUCAUACGCAACUAGAAAGGAGUGUAACUGAUAUUUAAACCCUAACAGUCUGGUUCCAGAAUCUGUGCUUUUAAAGUCAAGAUGAAAAGCAUGUCUGGGCCUUGACCCUUGGAACCCACCCCUACCACACAGGCUUUAGCUAGCAGAGGGGCAGCAAAGGAAGACAGCAAGAGGUGGCCUCUGGUCGUAGCUCUUUGUGGUUUGCCAAGGCUUUCUGGUUCACUGACUCAAAAGGGUUUGGGGCUUUACAGACUGGUAAGAUCUCCCAAACUGGGUAGUUGUACUUUAAUUUUGUUAAGUAAAAACAUUUUUAAAAAUCUGCUAACAUCACUAUCAUUUCAUAAAGUAAAUGUAAUUUCAAUGCAAAUAAACCCCAAGAAAGACACAAUCUCAGAGUACAGUCCAGGCCUUUAGGUUGAAUAAAUCUACCUUUGUAAACACCUCCUUUCGUUGUCCUGAUUUUCCUCAUCUCACCGUGGGCUGGUGAAAACGUCCUCAUGUGUAGCACCUGUUUAAGGACUGCCAUCCAGGAACCACUGUGGUACUUCAUACGAUCCCCAUAAACCCUCUGCAAGGUAGACAGGGAAAGUCUUGUUUACCCCACUCUACUAACGAAGAAAUCGAGGCUCAGAGAAGUCUUGUUUAAGGACACACAGCCUGAAAAAUGGCAGGGCCAGGUUACAAACCCAUGUUUUCAGACUGCAGGGGUCCAGUGCUCUUUCCUUCUAUACCUCAAAGCGUUCACAAAAUGCACUCACUGACCACUGGCUUGGUUGCUGUGUGAGGACCUAAAUGUUCAGAAAGAGAAGAAGCAUUUCCAACUGCCAGCUACCUUGCCGCCAGACUUCUUCCCCACUGGCUUACGAGGGUGCACUGUCAGCCCCAGCCCCCUGAGCCACAGCAUUCAGUAUCUAAAGCUGUAAUCUCUCCACUGCAGAGUGAGAAUGAAGAUACUGGCCACCCAGGUGGUUGUAAGGCUAAAACCACCACCUUUAAAGAUCGCUUGGCACAGUGCUGGCCACAGUGGGGCUCAUCACCACGUUUCUCACCUUCCCUUCCUCAGCCCUUGGAAAUGUGCAAGUAUAGUACAACCUACAAAGGCAAAUCCAUGUGGUAUAGUGCUCUGCACAGUGCAAUCCCUGUGUAAACAUUUCUAGACACAGAAAUGUCAGCUGGGGCAUUAUUUUGCUCAGGCUGACACUGAGGAAGACAUUUCCUGGAUUUUUUUCCUGUGCCCAUGGUGAGGUCCAAAGUGACCCAAAUACCACCUAAAUCCCUGGAUGCUAAACUCCUUGAGGGCAGAGACAGAGUUAUGAACCUCUGGGUCUCCCCAUAGGUCCAACCCAGCACUAGGUCUUCAGUGGCGUCUCUAAGAAUGUCAGUUGGUCAAUUUGUUAUUCAAUGGGCACAUGACAAGUUGCAGGAGUGCACAGGUGCUUUCAGGGUAUCAUCAUCUCAAACAGAAACAGCAUUGUUUCAAAGAGCCUGUAGGAGUCCAGAAGAAAUACAGGACUUUCUUCUUCCUUUUGCAAAAGCUGGCAGUUUAAAGCCACAGGGCAUUAGAUCAAGAAUGCCAUGAGGCUGACCAGUGAGGGGCUUGACUUUGAGGGCUCUGGGCUGGUUGGGCUGGCCAUGCUUACACUUGGAAAGCAGUAGGACCCAUUCCCUGGUUUUGAGCAUUCAAAGUAGCCUUGGCUUACUCUCUGCUCUGAGUUCUCACUUCAGUCUUCCUAUUCUGAGGUUCAAAGAACUGCAAAUAGUCCUCAGACAAAGCCUGUGGGGUGUCUCCCCAGAUUCCAGGAACUCUCCAAAUCAGAUAGACCAGGAUUAUGAAACUCAGCCUCUUCUAUGAAGGGUCCCACUGGAUCCCAUAAUAAGUGGGAAUUCUACCCUCAGCCCAGACUCUCCGGACUCCAGCCCAAUCUCAGUCUUAACCUCAGGGUUCCAGCUUUCCUCCGUCCAUUGCCACAUCAAACUCACCUGUUCUGGGUUUGCAUGUCAGGUACAUUUUCUGAUCAAUAUGCAUUUGCCUAUUCCUAUUCUGUGACUAAGGUAUUCCUUGGGUAUUGAUGGGUCUGCCUGCGUGUGUUCUCAAAUCUAAAGUCAUCAGCUACCCUUUGAACAUUGUAAGCAUGUUAUAUACAGGUUAUUUUUGCCUUUAGUUAUCUCAGUAACAUUAUAUUCCAUGUUAUAUGGCAUUUAAACUAUCUGGGUGGUCUUGUAUAUAAUACUUUACUUCCUUCAGAACCACAGGAAAAACUAAUUGCUAUUACUUCUGUGAGAGAUGGGGAUUCUCAAGGGACUUGCCCGUCAGUUUACAAAGUAGUGAUGGGGCUGGGCGUGGUGGCUAAUGCCUGUAAUCCCAGCACUUUGGGAGGCUGAGGCGGGCGGAUCGUUUGAGAUCAGGAGUUCCAGAUCAGACUGACCAGCAUGGGUAAACUCCAUCUCUACUAAAAAUACAAAAAUUAGCUGGGUGUGGUGGCGCAUGACUGUAAUCCCAGCUACUCAGGAGGCUGAGGCAUGAGAAUCACCUGAACCCGGAGGCAGAGGUUGCAGUGAGCUGAGAUUGCACCACUGUACUCCAGCCUGGGCAACAGAGGGAGACUCUGUCUCAAAAAAAAAAAAAAAAAAAAAAAGGAGCAAAGCCUCUGGCUCUUGUGUCAGCAGUCUCACCAGCCAGGGCUCUGUUUGUGUUCUGUAGUAGCCCCCACAGGGCUACAGGCGAAUAUAUUGCAGUUGCAGCCAGUAAGGAUGAUGCAACUGAGAAAGGCUGGCGGGCAGGUGGGUGCAGCCGGGGAUGGCCAGGGAUAGCCAGCCAGGCAGGGAACUCCUGAGCUGAGACUGCUGAAAGAUGGAUACUUCUGGGCCCCAGAAACAGCUCUUGGCUCCCAAAUACCCUCUCAGCUUCCUGAAAACCUCUAAAUAGCUAGGCGCAGUGGCUCAUGCCUGUAAUCCCAGCACUCUGGGAGGCUGAGGCAGGCGGAUCACUUGAGACCAGGAGUUCAAGACAAGCCUGGCCAACAUGGUGAAACCCCAUCUCUACUAAAAAUACAAAAAUUAGUUGGCCAUGGUGGCACGCACCUGUAAUCCCAGCUACUCGGGAGUCUGAGGCAGGAGAAUCACUUGAACCCAGGAGGCAGAAGUUGCAGUGAGCCGAGAUUGUGCCAUUGCACUCCAGCCUGGUCGUCAGAGUGAGACUCCGUCUCAAACAAAAAACAAGAAACAAAAAACAAGCCUCUAAAUAGGGAAUAAAUCUUUACAGUUCAAGUUGACAGACCUGGGUGCAAAUCCCAGCUGGGCUCCUCACUGGCUGUGUGAACUUGGGCAGGAUACCUAACCUCUCUGAAAUUUUGUUUAAUCAUAUGUUUUU